UCGGGAAUUUUGGGCAAUGGGCGAAAGCCUGACCCAGCAACGCCGCGUGAAGGAUGAAGCUUUUCGGAGUGUAAACUUCAUAAGAAUGGGACGAAUAAAGAGGGGCUAACACCCCCUCCUAUGACGGUACCAUUUGUAAGCUCCGGCUAACUCCGUGCCAGCAGCCGCGGUAAUACGGGGGGAGCAAGCGUUGUUCGGAUUUACUGGGCGUAAAGGGCGCGUAGGCGGCGCAACAAGUCACUUGUGAAAUCUCCGGGCUUAACCCGGAGCGGCCAAGUGAUACUGUCGUGCUAGAGUGCGGAAGGGGCUACUGGAAUUCUCGGUGUAGCGGUGAAAUGCGUAGAUAUCGAGAGGAACACCUGCGGCGAAGGCGGGUAGCUGGGCCGACACUGACGCUGAGGCGCGAAAGCCAGGGGAGCGAACGGG
This 426-nucleotide ribosomal RNA is filed under the name Acidobacteriota bacterium. RNAcentral describes it as "Acidobacteria bacterium partial 16S ribosomal RNA". It matches the Rfam family "Bacterial small subunit ribosomal RNA", at positions 355 to 776 of the family's 1533-position model. Lineage: Bacteria; Pseudomonadati; Acidobacteriota. The record is from RNAcentral.